Molecule: ribosomal RNA, 641 nt
Filed under: uncultured bacterium
Lineage: Bacteria
Description: bacterial SSU rRNA
Rfam family: Bacterial small subunit ribosomal RNA
Source: RNAcentral
GAGUUUGAUCCUGGCUCAGGAUGAACGCUAGCGGCAGGCUUAACACAUGCAAGUCGAGGGGUAGUUAUCUUCGGAUAAUGAGACCGGCGCACGGGUGCGUAACGCGUAUACAAUCUACCUUUUACAGAGGGAUAGCCCAGAGAAAUUUGGAUUAAUACCUCAUAGUAUUUUUGAAUGGCAUCAUUUGAUUAUUAAAGUUCCAACGGUAAAAGAUGAGUAUGCGUCCCAUUAGCUAGAUGGUAAGGUAACGGCUUACCAUGGCAACGAUGGGUAGGGGUCCUGAGAGGGAGAUCCCCCACACUGGUACUGAGACACGGACCAGACUCCUACGGGAGGCAGCAGUGAGGAAUAUUGGACAAUGGGCGCAAGCCUGAUCCAGCCAUGCCGCGUGCAGGAAGAAGGUCCUAUGGAUUGUAAACUGCUUUUAUACAGGAAGAAACACCUCUACGUGUAGAGACUUGACGGUACUGUAUGAAUAAGGACCGGCUAACUCCGUGCCAGCAGCCGCGGUAAUACGGAGGGUCCAAGCGUUAUCCGGAAUCAUUGGGUUUAAAGGGUCCGUAGGCGGUUUAAUAAGUCAGUGGUGAAAGCCCAUCGCUCAACGAUGGAACGGCCAUUGAUACUGUUAAACUUGAAUUAUU